UUCGUUCUCUUAAUUGAAUUGCAAUUAAACUCGGCCCAAUCUUUUGCUAAAAUGAUUGAGCCGAAUACAACAAAGAUUCUAUUGCAUAUAUUUUGACUAAGUAUAUGCUUACCUAGAUAUACAAGAUUUGAAAUACAAAAUCUAGAAAACUAAAUCAAAAUCUAAGACUCAAAUCUUUCUAUUGUUGUCUUGGAUCCACAA
RNAcentral lists this long non-coding RNA (201 nucleotides) under Nicotiana benthamiana. Its description in RNAcentral is "long non-coding RNA (NBEN_LNC029824)". Lineage: Eukaryota; Viridiplantae; Streptophyta; Magnoliopsida; Solanales; Solanaceae. The record is from RNAcentral.